GGCGAGGAGAGUAUCCUCAGGCGCUCGAGAGAACCGUCCUUAAGGAACUAGGCAAAUUUGCCCCGUAACUUCGGGAUAAGGGGUCCCUUCCUUCGGGAAGGGCGCAGGAAAUGGCUCUGGCGACUGUUUAUCAAAAACACAGGUCUCUGCUAAGUCGUACAGACGACGUAUAGAGACUGACGCCUGCUCGGUGCCGGAAGGUUAAGGAAGCAGGUCAUCCUUCGGGAGAAGCUUGCGACCGAAGCCCCGGUUAACGGCGGCCCUAACUAUGAGGGUCCUAAGGUAGCGAAGUUCCUUGUCGGGUAAGUUCCGACGCGCAUGAAUGGCGUAACGACUGGAGCACUGUCUCAAGGACGGACUCGGUGAAAUUGUAAUGGUUGUGAAGAUACAACCUUCCCGCAGAAAGACGGAAAGACCCCGUGAACCUUCACUGUAGCCUGAUAUUGACCACGGGCUGCGCAUGCGUAGGAUAGGUGGGAGGCUGUGAGGCGGCGUUUCCGGACGCCGCGGAGCCAACGUUGAAAUACCACCCUUGUGUUGUUCGUUGUCUAACCCCGACCCAUGAAUCUGGGCGGGGGACAGUGUUUGGUGGGCAGUUUGACUGGGGCGGUCUCCUCCAAAAGAGUAACGGAGGAGUGCAAAGGUCGGCUCAGCAUGGUUGGCAAUCAUGCUUCGAGUGUAAGAGCACAAGCCGGCUUAACUGCGAGACUUACAGGUCGAGCAGAUGGGAAACCAGGCUCUAAUGAUCCAGCGGUCCCGUGUGGAAGGGCCGUUGCUCAACGGACAAAAGGUACUCCGGGGAUAACAGGCUGAUGACUCCCGAGCGUCCAUAGCGGCGGAGUCGUUUGGCACCUCGAUGUCGGCCCAUCGCAUCCUGGGGGUGUAGGCGCUCCCAAGGGUUCGGCUGUUCGCCGAUUAAAGCGGUACGCGAGCUGGGUUCAGACCGGCGUGAGCCAGGUCGGUCCCUAUCUUCUGUGGGCGCACGAGACUUGAAGGAGGUAUAACUUUAGUACGAGAGGAUUUAGUUGUACCGGCCUAUGGUGUAUCUGUUGUCGCGCUAGCGGCAUCGCAGAGUAGCCAAGCCGGGAAAGGUUAAACGCUGAAAGCAUCUAAGCGUGAAACCUUCUCCAAGAUAAGGUCUCGAUGCUCUUUGAGCUGCAGGCCCCUGGUAGACCACCAGGUGGAUAGGCUGGGUGUGUAAGGACAGUAAUGUUUUAAGCUUACCAGUACUAAUGGCCGAACGCUUGAUCG
RNAcentral lists this ribosomal RNA (1251 nucleotides) under anaerobic digester metagenome. RNAcentral's name for it is "bacterial LSU rRNA". It matches the Rfam family "Bacterial large subunit ribosomal RNA", at positions 1666 to 2925 of the family's 2925-position model. The record is from RNAcentral.